GACGAACGCUGGCGGCGUGCCUAAUACAUGCAAGUCGAGCGGACCGAACAGGAGCUUGCUCUUGUUCGGUUAGCGGCGGACGGGUGAGUAACACGUGGGUAACCUGCCCGUAAGACCGGGAUAACUCCGGGAAACCGGAGCUAAUACCGGAUAACACCGAAGACCGCAUGGUCUUUGGUUGAAAGGCGGCUUCGGCUGCCACUUACGGAUGGGCCCGCGGCGCAUUAGCUAGUUGGUGAGGUAACGGCUCACCAAGGCGACGAUGCGUAGCCGGCCUGAGAGGGUGACCGGCCACACUGGGACUGAGACACGGCCCAGACUCCUACGGGAGGCAGCAGUAGGGAAUCUUCCGCAAUGGACGAAAGUCUGACGGAGCGACGCCGCGUGAGUGAAGAAGGUCUUCGGAUCGUAAAGCUCUGUUGGUAGGGAAGAAGAAGCGUCGUUCGAACAGGGCGGCGCGGUGACGGUACCUAACGAGAAAGCCCCGGCUAACUACGU
RNAcentral lists this ribosomal RNA (498 nucleotides) under uncultured bacterium. RNAcentral describes it as "partial 16S ribosomal RNA". It matches the Rfam family "Bacterial small subunit ribosomal RNA", at positions 28 to 506 of the family's 1533-position model. The record is from RNAcentral.